This 457-nucleotide ribosomal RNA is filed under the name Streptomyces griseus. RNAcentral's name for it is "bacterial SSU rRNA". It matches the Rfam family "Bacterial small subunit ribosomal RNA", at positions 44 to 520 of the family's 1533-position model. The record is from RNAcentral. Lineage: Bacteria; Bacillati; Actinomycetota; Actinomycetes; Kitasatosporales; Streptomycetaceae.
GUGCUUAACACAUGCAAGUCGAACGAUGAAGCCUUUCGGGGUGGAUUAGUGGCGAACGGUGAGUAACACGUGGCAAUCUGCCCUUCACUCUGGGACAAGCCCUGGAAACGGGGUCUAAUACCGGAUAACACUCUGUCCCGCAUGGGACGGGGUUAAAAGCUCCGGCGGUGAAGGAUGAGCCCGCGGCCUAUCAGCUUGUUGGUGGGGUAAUGGCCUACCAAGGCGACGACGGGUAGCCGGCCUGAGAGGGCGACCGGCCACACUGGGACUGAGACACGGCCCAGACUCCUACGGGAGGCAGCAGUGGGGAAUAUUGCACAAUGGGCGAAAGCCUGAUGCAGCGACGCCGCGUGAGGGAUGACGGCCUUCGGGUUGUAAACCUCUUUCAGCAGGGAAGAAGCGAAAGUGACGGUACCUGCAGAAGAAGCGCCGGCUAACUACGUGCCAGCAGCCGCGG